This is a long non-coding RNA of Poecilia latipinna (sailfin molly), 1377 nucleotides long. RefSeq lists it as uncharacterized. The transcript has 3 exons. The record is from RefSeq and is a predicted model, not a curated record. Lineage: Eukaryota; Metazoa; Chordata; Actinopteri; Cyprinodontiformes; Poeciliidae.
AACUAUUCAUUUUUCACUAGUUCUGCAUCAACAGUGGCUUGCUGGGCGCAGACCGUUUUCUGGAGGAGUAAUUCCCUGCAUUAUGGUAGCAUGCAAACAGAACUCAGCAGGAGCGUUAUUACAAGGGCACCUGUCACUCGGCCGUGAGCUAUACGGAAAGACGCCUCUCAGAUAGAGUAAUUCCAGUUUUCACACAACACCACUGAUUUCGCAGCUGGACUUGGAGGCAAUCUGCAUUUUGCUGCGGCGGAUAUCAGCGUCACUGUCAGGCGGAGGAGCAAAGCAGGGACGGCACAUGUGCAUAUGCGAUUCUCUUUCGACGGGGGCUUAAAUGGAACUUCGUGCUGGCUGGCUGUCGGCAGAGUCUUGUUUUGAUUGUCGCUAUGGGAACGGACAGCGUCUGACCCACAGAUGCAAGAGCAAAGGGAUUUGAUCGAUAGACCGAGGCAACAGUAGGUUUCUUCAGCUAAACCAGAUGGAUGAGGAUGUCAAGUCUGAGCAAUUUGAACGCGUGAACCAGAAAAAAAAAUCCCUGCUAAUAUUCAGAACAGUCUCCAAUCUAAUGAAAGAUAGGAAGGAUGCUGGUUCAACUGAGCACAUAAACAUCCUUUCGCCCCCGCACAGCCUAAGGGACAAAUGUGUACGGCAUAAUAAUUAAAAAAAAAAAAAAAGCCGUUGGUGAGCAGGAACCAUUUGUCUCAGGGUUCAGAGUUCACUCGGAUGGUGCAGACGCGAAACCACGAGGGACGAGACGAGUACGUCAGAGUUUCCGAAGAAGAGCCUGAUUUGAAUGCCUCCUAACAAACACGAAGGACCGGUUACAUGCUCAAGAGAUUGUAGGCGUUUGCGUUGAAUAGGCGCUCUUUGUUUACCAAGGCCAAAAACCCAAGCGCGCAGGGGAAUAAGAAGGCUUCUGGCAUGAUUCUGGUAGGAUAUUUUACCACCAUUUUAGAAGAAAUGGGAGAUUGAUUUCCAAGCAUUGAUGAAGCUUUACAGGCUGCAAUCUUGCCGACUACAGAUCCUCCUUCAAAAUCAACACUUGCAACGUCAGCUGAACUUUUUUGAACUCAGUUUUUGUCCGAUGAGACAAAAACUAAGCUGCAAAACAAGCAAACUAGAGAGAGAGAGCUGCAUCAACUUUCAAGCACGGUGGUGGUGGUCGGAUAAAGCAGUUUGAUAUUAAAUCCUGGCUGUGGUUGAGAAGCUGCUCUCACAUUUCUAAUUGUAAGCAGGUCAGUUGUUCAUGGCAAGUAAAGUUUGUAAUUUCUCUGCAAUGUGCUAACGGCCAUUUACGCAAAUAUCAAGGGUAUGUAAAGCUCUGGAAAAAACUAAGAGACCUCUGCACUGAACCCCAUUGAAAACCUCAUGGUUGUUCCA